UGCCUUCACAUCUGAUAUGAAUUUGUUUCAAAGUUUAUGAUUUUGUCUUCACAAUCCUUGGGCCAAAAUUGUUUAAAUUCUAUUCAAAUUGUUGCAUAUAAUUACUUUGAUUUUCUCACAGAUAAUCCCCAACUUUUCUUUGUUCAUGAGAUAAUGAACUCUUUUAGGCAUUUCAUCGAGCACCUGUUACGCAUCAAUAAAACAUAGGUUAACAACCCCGUUUGUAAUUUACUUCCUUCCAACUGAAUCGUCUUAAAGGCAUACACAACUUCAAAUAUUAACAACUCUAACUUUAAAUCAACGUUUUUAUCAGAAAAUUAAGAUUAAUAUGAUUAUUUUGUAAAUGAAUUCAUUACAAUCGAAGCUGAUUUUACAUUAUUUGAAACAGAGGAUGAUUAUGCAUAAUAAAAUAUCUUUUUCAUGUUCAAAUCUAACCUGAUUUUGUACGAUUUAAAUAAAAUAUUGAAGAAUUCAGUAGAAACCAUGGCGAAUUCAAUGUCUUUUAGGUUUUCUUCGUGUUUGCUUGAUGAACGAAGGAGAUGACGACGAACAUCGAGUCUUGCCUUGUUAGUCCAAUAUGGUUUCUGGUUAACCAAGCCCAUCCCAAC
Molecule: long non-coding RNA, 608 nt
Filed under: Lactuca sativa (garden lettuce)
Lineage: Eukaryota; Viridiplantae; Streptophyta; Magnoliopsida; Asterales; Asteraceae
Description: long non-coding RNA (LSAT_LNC003371)
Source: RNAcentral